RNAcentral lists this ribosomal RNA (252 nucleotides) under uncultured bacterium. Its description in RNAcentral is "partial 16S ribosomal RNA". It matches the Rfam family "Bacterial small subunit ribosomal RNA", at positions 524 to 776 of the family's 1533-position model. The record is from RNAcentral.
UACGGAGGAUGCGAGCGUUAUCCGGAUUUAUUGGGUUUAAAGGGUGCGUAGGCGGGUUAUCAAGUCAGCGGUAAAAUCGUGGAGCUCAACUCCAUCCAGCCGUUGAAACUGAUGAUCUUGAGUGGGCGAGAAGUAUGCGGAAUGCGUGGUGUAGCGGUGAAAUGCAUAGAUAUCACGCAGAACUCCGAUUGCGAAGGCAGCACACCGGCGCCCUACUGACGCUGAGGCACGAAAGCGUGGGUAUCGAACAGG